CCCUUAGAUGUCCGGGGCCGCACGCGCGCUACACUGAAGGAAUCAGCGUGGCUUUCUCCCUGACCCGAAAGGGUUGGGAAACCCGUUGAAUCUCCUUCGUGAUAGGGAUUGGGGCUUGAAAUUGUUCCCCAUGAACGAGGAAUUCCCAGUAAGCGCGAGUCAUAAGCUCUCGUUGAUUACGUCCCUGCCCUUUGUACACACCGCCCGUCGCUACUACCGAUUGAACGGUUUAGUGAGGGCCUCGGAUUGGUCUCGGCCCGCUCUUUACCGGGCGGCGCCGUUGGUCGAGAAGACGCUCGAACUUGAUCGUUUAGAGGAAGUAAAAGUCGUAACA
RNAcentral lists this ribosomal RNA (334 nucleotides) under uncultured eukaryote. RNAcentral describes it as "partial 18S ribosomal RNA". It matches the Rfam family "Eukaryotic small subunit ribosomal RNA", at positions 1470 to 1796 of the family's 1831-position model. The record is from RNAcentral.